UGCGUAGGCGGUUUAUUAAGUCAUAUCUGAAAGCUCUCGGCUUAACCGAGAAGGGUGAUAUGAAACUGGUAGACUUGAGUACGGCAGAGGUUAGUGGAAUUCAAUGUGUAGCGGUGGAAUGCGUAGAUAUAUUGAGGAACACCAGUGGCGAAGGCGGCUAACUGGACCGGAACUGACGCUGAGGCACGAAAGCGUGGGGAGCAAACAGGAUUAGAUACCCUGGUAGUCC
Molecule: ribosomal RNA, 229 nt
Filed under: uncultured bacterium
Lineage: Bacteria
Description: partial 16S ribosomal RNA
Rfam family: Bacterial small subunit ribosomal RNA
Source: RNAcentral